This 170-nucleotide ribosomal RNA is filed under the name Schistura sp. CBM:ZF:15599. Its description in RNAcentral is "partial 12S rRNA". Lineage: Eukaryota; Metazoa; Chordata; Actinopteri; Cypriniformes; Nemacheilidae. The record is from RNAcentral.
CACCGCGGUUAUACGAGAGGCCCUAGUUGAUAGGCACGGCGUAAAGGGUGGUUAAGGAGAGUACUAAUAAAGUCAAAGGGCCUCCUGGCCGUCAUACGCUCCCGAGCGUCCGAAGUCCAAAACGAAAGUAACUUUAAUACAGCCCACCUGACCCCACGAAAACUGAGAAA